AGAGUUUGAUCCUGGCUCAGAACGAACGCUGGCGGCAGGCCUAACACAUGCAAGUCGAGCGCCCGCAAGGGAGCGGCAGACGGGUGAGUAACGCGUGGGAACGUGCCCUUUGGUUCGGAAUAUUCCCGGGAAACUGGGAGCAAAACCGGAUAAGCCCUUCGGGGGAAAGUUUACGCCAAAGGAUCGGCCCGCGUUAGAUUAGGUAGUUGGUGGGGUAACGGCCUACCAAGCCUACGAUCUAUAGCUGAUCUGAGAGGAUGAUCAGCCACACUGGGACUGAGACACGGCCCAGACUCCUACGGGAGGCAGCAGUGGGGAAUCUUGGACAAUGGGCGCAAGCCUGAUCCAGCCAUGCCGCGUGGAUGACUGAAGGCCUUAGGGUUGUAAAGUCCUUUCGACGGGGACGAUAAUGACGGUACCCGUAGAAGAAGCCCCGGCUAACUUCGUGCCAGCAGCCGCGGUAAUACGAAGGGGGCUAGCGUUGUUCGGAUUUACUGGGCGUAAAGGGCGCGUAGGCGGAUUUUUAAGUCGGGGGUGAAAUCCCGGAGCUCAACUCCGGAACUGCCUUCGAUACUGGAAGUCUGGAGCACGGUAGAGGUGAGUGGAAUUCCGAGUGUAGCGGUGAAAUGCGUAGA
Molecule: ribosomal RNA, 635 nt
Filed under: uncultured bacterium
Lineage: Bacteria
Description: bacterial SSU rRNA
Rfam family: Bacterial small subunit ribosomal RNA
Source: RNAcentral